AGGUUCAGUCAGAAGAAAAGACAAAAGAUUUUGGCCCGGCAAUGAGUUGUCAACUGAUCUGUGUUAGAGUAACUGGGUCAAAGAUGACACAGGAAAAGAGGCUAUGGAGACAGCAAGCAUGGGCUGUUCGUAAGUUUAGUGGUGAAGAGGAGAAAGAUGGGCAGAUGUACGGCUCAGUCAGAAUUUAAAAAAUGCUUGAAAAAGUUCCUGAUAUAUAAAGUGACAUACUGAUAAAUAUUAAGAAAAUAGACUAUAAAGGAAUUUAGCCUCUGAGCUACUCAGAGAUAACUUAUUUCCUUUGAAAAAUAUCAAAAUUGGAGUUGAAAUUUAGAAAAAACUGCAUGAUUUGCUGAUACGUAACAUUUAUACCAUUUUAUUAUAAAUUUAAGAUAUAUUGAUAUACUGAAAAAGAGGUCUCCAUUUCUUUUGGCUUUCCUCUCCCCACCCCCCAGCUGUUUAACAACAUUGCCUCUCCUAAGUCCAUAUUAAGCUGCAUGUUAGAUGUGAUAUUGGGUAGGUUUCUUGCCUUUAACACCUAAUUUUCAUCACCCAUAAAAAGGGGAUAACAAUAGUAAUCCUUCAUAGGAUUGUUGGGAGGGUUAAAAUGGAAGCAGAGAAUAAAUGUCUCCUCCCUGUAUCCCCCAUACAUCUCUUCUUUAACUCUGAAGACUUCACUUUUCUGUAGUGAAGAAGUAUCCAUCGUUUAAACAUGGCUCAUGCACUGAUUUCUCAUCUUGAGAAUGAGGGGACGUUUCAGUGCCAAAAUCUGAAGAGAGCUAUAGAAUCUAAAUUGAUAGUGAACAAUGUGUCUAAAGUGACUGCCUCAUCAGAAAGAAAGGAGUAAGAAUGAAGCACAAAUUAUUUCUCCAAAAAUAGGGUAUAGCUUUUAGGAUAUCUGCCCAACUUAGGUCCCAUUUUCUGAAUACUACUCUUUGCCACCUUCAGGGGCGAGCUGUUUAGAUGAUUGGACACGGAGUGGAUAUCUGGUCAAAUUUGAGCCAAGUAGAUGUUUUCUCCCAAGAAUUUGAAAUGGAAAACGAAUGUCUUGGGAAGUUGCAUUUGGAACCUACAUGUGAAGCAGAAGGAAUAAGACGAGAGACUGUACAAUUCCAGAAGAAAAAGAUGAAGAGAACAGCUGCCUUGAUUCCUGAUACUUUGUGCUUUUAUUCCAAUUUUUUAUGCCUGUUCAUUUCCUGCUCCUGGGUUCUCAUGAGGGGUAACUGCUGCUCUGAAUUUGAUGUUCACCAGAAUGAUACCAUGAAUGAUUUUAAAUGCUUACUGUAUGUGUGCAUAUAUAGGGUGGUUUUUAUGUUUUUGAAACUAUAUGAAAUGGUAUCUUACUGUACGUAAUCUUUGGGGACUUGUUUUUUUUCACUCAUGUUUUUGAGAUGUAUCUGUGUUACAUGUUUCUCUAAAUUACUCAUUUUUAAUGCUAUAUAGUUCAUUGAGUAUAUCACAGUUUAUCCAUUUUCUUGUUGAUGCACAUUUCAGUUAUUUCCAG
This is a long non-coding RNA of Bos taurus (domestic cattle), 1501 nucleotides long. The record is from Ensembl. Lineage: Eukaryota; Metazoa; Chordata; Mammalia; Artiodactyla; Bovidae.